RNAcentral lists this non-coding RNA (151 nucleotides) under Streptomyces bingchenggensis. Lineage: Bacteria; Bacillati; Actinomycetota; Actinomycetes; Kitasatosporales; Streptomycetaceae. The record is from RNAcentral.
GCGCCGCGCGGUACCGUCGGUGCGAUAUCGACGACGGCAAGACGGAAGCCGGUGGGAACCCGGCACGGUCGCGCCACUGUGAACGAGACGUUCCAAACGUUCCAAGGGAUGUCUUGUGAGUCAGACCCGUAGCUGUCGUCCAAUGCACCAC